RNAcentral lists this ribosomal RNA (465 nucleotides) under Vreelandella stevensii. RNAcentral's name for it is "partial 16S ribosomal RNA". It matches the Rfam family "Bacterial small subunit ribosomal RNA", at positions 338 to 795 of the family's 1533-position model. The record is from RNAcentral. Lineage: Bacteria; Pseudomonadati; Pseudomonadota; Gammaproteobacteria; Oceanospirillales; Halomonadaceae.
CCUACGGGAGGCAGCAGUGGGGAAUAUUGGACAAUGGGCGAAAGCCUGAUCCAGCCAUGCCGCGUGUGUGAAGAAGGCCUUCGGGUUGUAAAGCACUUUCAGUGGGGAAGGAAGCCUUGGGGCUAAUACCCUCGAGGAAGGACAUCACCCACAGAAGAAGCACCGGCUAACUCCGUGCCAGCAGCCGCGGUAAUACGGAGGGUGCGAGCGUUAAUCGGAAUUACUGGGCGUAAAGCGCGCGUAGGCGGUCUGAUAAGCCGGUUGUGAAAGCCCCGGGCUCAACCUGGGAACGGCAUCCGGAACUGUCAGGAUAGAGUGCAGGAGAGGAAGGUAGAAUUCCCGGUGUAGCGGUGAAAUGCGUAGAGAUCGGGAGGAAUACCAGUGGCGAAGGCGGCCUUCUGGACUGACACUGACGCUGAGGUGCGAAAGCGUGGGUAGCAAACAGGAUUAGAUACCCUAGUAGUC